Molecule: long non-coding RNA, 2360 nt
Organism: Athene cunicularia (burrowing owl)
Lineage: Eukaryota; Metazoa; Chordata; Aves; Strigiformes; Strigidae
Exons: 4
Source: RefSeq, a predicted model, not a curated record
CUAUUAAGCAGAGAACUACCCUUGAAACGGUUUGAAGUAACCAAACUUCCUCUGUCUGCUCCCCGGUCUGCGUCCAGCGCCUGGGCAGCGCUGGGGGUGGAGCUGGACAGGCGACUGCCAAGAAGAUAAGCAGACCCGUACCCUCUGGGAGGAAGCAGCCAGCUCUGACCUGCCCGGUCCUCAUCUGUGGCUACUGGACGGAUCCCUGGAGCACACGGUGACGUACUCGGACUCGAUCCCUCUCUCUUCGUUGUUGCAAAGAAAAAAUCCGGAGGCAGCCUGUGGUCAAAAUGCGUGGCACGGCAGUUCUGUAAAAUGGGGCAGGUGAAGGUGCUCUCUGAGCACCCCACCGGAGAAGGGUCUUGGUUCCGUCCGGCCGCUCCUGCCUGCCUCACCUCACAGCUCAGAGGCUUCGACCACGUGGGGUCUCGGCAGUCUUCCUGGGGCGCUCACCCGCACGCCGUGGUCAAGGCUCCCCUGUCUCUGCCCCUCUCCCCUGCUCCCCUCGCUGGGGUGUCUGACAGGCUCCGGAGGAGACGCCGCUGACUUGCCACCUCAAGCUGGGAAAUUGCCGUCUCUGCGUUGGGCUGGCAUGUAGUCAUCAGCAAAAAGCCAGUAGGACUUUGGCUGUUUGUGUCAGAUGAUUUGUUACAGCAAGAAUUAAUAUGUAGUUUCUUGUUCCUGUGGAUUUUUUUUUUUUUUACUAUGCAAGCAAAUAACACAGUAAUUUUUGUCCUUCUGCUGCAGUACAGGGGAAAUAAAAUAAUAAUAUAUUGUGUGCUAUUGCAUGUCAUGGGUGUCAAGAAACAAGUAAAAUAUUCGCUGUAAAAAUAAUUUUAAAUUUUUCUUAAGUUUCUUCUCAGGUAGAACAACCCUAUCUGUUUUCUGGCGCUGUUUUAAAGCAAGGGUUAGUGCGAUGCUCUGGGAAUGUCGACGUUUUACUGACCCCCAAUUUGUCAGUGCCAUGGCCUGGGGCUGCUGGGCUGCUCGGCCCUGGGCUCUGGACCCGGUAUAAACACUGGUGUGACCACUCCUGGUCUCAAGGCUGUCACUUAAACUUGUUCAUCGCCCCCGUGUAGCUCCCAGCUCCCACCUCUGAGCUGGUGGUGGGAGAAGGUCUCUCUGGGCUGACCCAGGCCACCAGCAGCCACCCCACCAGUGACCGGCGCCCGCCUGAGCAUCGCGUCGCCUGCGAGCGUGUCCCGGAGAGCACUGGCCCUUCUCCUCCCUCUGGCUCGGUGGAAGCUGCUGUGGGUCUGCUCACAAGGCACAGACGUGCCCCCAGUUCAUACCGGUAACACGGGAAAAGGCUAAAUGCUUAUCUUCUAGCGCUAGUUAACGAAUAACCAGAAGAAGCCAGGAUCAGCUGAGGGUCUGCUGGUCCAGCCUGUGACCAACACUCAUGACCGAUAGUUUAAACAUCUUUCUGUAUACGCAAGGAAUAAAGUUUGGAGGAAAAGCCUUGGGGAAAAGGCUGCUUAUUCUGCACUGAGAUAGGUCUUGUGGCUUUUAAUAUGGAAAUACAUAUAUCAGUAUAUUUACGUGCUCUUCCUGCUGCCUGCCUGGGAUGACUCUGCAAGUGGUAAGGACCAGCCAGCAAAUCUCAUGCUUCGAUCCCAGUCUAGGGCUUGGUGGCUUUUUGCUCCUCUUCCCCUCGCACCCACGAAGAGCUGCUGGGAGAUUCAAAGGAAAAACACAGGCUCUUGCGAGGGAAGUGCAAGGAAAAAAAGGCAGGAUGCAGCUUUUCCUUCAAAGGCACGUUGUGUGAGCUGGUGCCAGCAGGGAACUUCCACCCUGCAGGUAAGGGAGCGAGGGGUUCCACCUCCCUGGUUCCAGACCCCGUCGGGAGUCACCUCCCUGUGCUGAGUCCGAGCUCCCGCGUCCCUGGGACGGCGUGGGUGGACGAGGGGGAGGACUGGUACGAAGGAAAGGAGAAGAAACACGGAUUUUUCUUCGUUUUCCCUCCUAGGUGUGUUUUGUUUUGUUUCCUCAGUCUUAUGCUGAUGGCAACAUUUAACACUCGUACAUUAUAUUUCUGUGGAAUAUAUGAGCCGAGGCACAAAAGCUACUCAAAUUUGUCAGGCUGAGAACUUGAAAGCGUUCAGGAAAAUCCCUUGAAACCAUCCUGCACGUAAAUAUCUAGGCACUUGUUGCUUUGCUUUUACUUGGCCUGCACGGACUCUUCAGGCACAGCAAACUGGCAGAUCUCGAAGAUGUCAUUCCUUUUCCAGUGCUGCUGUUCGGGUCUGAAAAAAUUAAUUGGGCAAUUUCCCCAGUACCAGUUGCCACAAGCUUAUCAUCCCCGCAGUGGUGACAGCUGCAGAGGGCUGCUUGUCUCUGGGAUGUUCAGAUUCUGAGGU